RNAcentral lists this ribosomal RNA (451 nucleotides) under Paramunida stichas. RNAcentral's name for it is "partial 16S ribosomal RNA". It matches the Rfam family "Bacterial large subunit ribosomal RNA", at positions 1946 to 2597 of the family's 2925-position model. Lineage: Eukaryota; Metazoa; Arthropoda; Malacostraca; Decapoda; Munididae. The record is from RNAcentral.
CUGUGCAAAGGUAGCAUAAUCAUUAGCUUUUUAAUUGAAGGCUUGUAUGAAGGGUCUGACAAAGAAAAAGCUGUCUUUAAAAUUAUUUUUGAAUUUAACUUUUAAGUGAAAAGGCUUAAAUAAAUUUAAGGGACGAUAAGACCCUAUAAAUCUUUAUAUUAAAUUAUUAUUCUGAAUUUUAAUAUUUGUUUAGAUUAUUAGUUAUAGUAAUAAAUAUUUUGUUGGGGUGACGAGAAUAUAAUAUUAACUGUUCUUAAAAGAAACAAAGUUAUUUGUUUAAAAAUUUAUAGAUCCUUUUUAAAGAUUAAAAGUUUAAGUUACUUUAGGGAUAACAGCGUUAUUUUUUUUGAGAGUUCAUAUCGAAAAAAAAGUUUGCGACCUCGAUGUUGAAUUAAAAUUUCUCUACGGUGUAGAAGUUGUGGAAGAGAGUCUGUUCGACUUUUGAAAUUUU